GCCGAAGUAGCUCAGUGGUAGAGCACUUCUCUGAAAAAGAAGGGGUCGUGAGUCCGAUUCUCACCUUCGGCACCA
Molecule: transfer RNA, 75 nt
Filed under: bacterium
Lineage: Bacteria
Also listed under: 2 other names
Description: tRNA-Phe
Rfam family: tRNA
About the family: Transfer RNA (tRNA) molecules are approximately 80 nucleotides in length. Their secondary structure includes four short double-helical elements and three loops (D, anti-codon, and T loops). Further hydrogen bonds mediate the characteristic L-shaped molecular structure. tRNAs have two regions of fundamental functional importance: the anti-codon, which is responsible for specific mRNA codon recognition, and the 3' end, to which the tRNAs corresponding amino acid is attached (by aminoacyl-tRNA synthetases). tRNAs cope with the degeneracy of the genetic code in two manners: having more than one tRNA (with a specific anti-codon) for a particular amino acid; and 'wobble' base-pairing, i.e. permitting non-standard base-pairing at the 3rd anti-codon position.
Source: RNAcentral